This 71-nucleotide transfer RNA is filed under the name Dipodomys ordii (Ord's kangaroo rat). It matches the Rfam family "tRNA". Rfam says of the family: Transfer RNA (tRNA) molecules are approximately 80 nucleotides in length. The record is from Rfam by way of RNAcentral. Lineage: Eukaryota; Metazoa; Chordata; Mammalia; Rodentia; Heteromyidae.
GGGGUUGUGACUUAGCCAUAUGGUGCCGGCUUAGUAAGCAGGAAUCCUGAGUUCAAACCUCAGCACCUCCA